GACGAACGCUGGCGGCGUGCUUAACACAUGCAAGUGGAACGGAAAGGCCCCUUUGGGGGUACUCGAGUGGCGAACGGGUGAGUAACACGUGAGUAACCUGCCCUUGACUUCGGGAUAACUUCAGGAAACUGGGGCUAAUACCGGAUAGGAAUCCUUGCUGCAUGGUGGGGGUUGGAAAGCUUCGGCGGUUUUGGAUGGACUCGCGGCUUAUCAGCUUGUUGGUGGGGUAGUGGCUUACCAAGGCUUUGACGGGUAGCCGGCCUGAGAGGGCGACCGGCCACAUUGGGACUGAGAUACGGCCCAGACUCCUACGGGAGGCAGCAGUGGGGAAUAUUGCACAAUGGGCGGAAGCCUGAUGCAGCAACGCCGCGUGCGGGAUGACGGCCUUCGGGUUGUAAACCGCUUUCAGCAGGGGCGAAGCUUGUGGUGACGGUACCUGCAGAAGAAGCACCGGCUAACUACGUG
Molecule: ribosomal RNA, 465 nt
Filed under: uncultured bacterium
Lineage: Bacteria
Description: partial 16S ribosomal RNA
Rfam family: Bacterial small subunit ribosomal RNA
Source: RNAcentral